RNAcentral lists this ribosomal RNA (1480 nucleotides) under Microbacterium laevaniformans. Its description in RNAcentral is "bacterial SSU rRNA". It matches the Rfam family "Bacterial small subunit ribosomal RNA". The record is from RNAcentral. Lineage: Bacteria; Bacillati; Actinomycetota; Actinomycetes; Micrococcales; Microbacteriaceae.
GGCUCAGGAUGAACGCUGGCGGCGUGCUUAACACAUGCAAGUCGAACGGUGAAGCCCAGCUUGCUGGGUGGAUCAGUGGCGAACGGGUGAGUAACACGUGAGCAAUCUGCCCCUGACUCUGGGAUAAGCGCUGGAAACGGCGUCUAAUACUGGAUACGAACCGUGGAGGCAUCUUCAACGGUUGGAAAGAUUUUUUGGUCAGGGAUGAGCUCGCGGCCUAUCAGCUUGUUGGUGAGGUAAUGGCUCACCAAGGCGUCGACGGGUAGCCGGCCUGAGAGGGUGACCGGCCACACUGGGACUGAGACACGGCCCAGACUCCUACGGGAGGCAGCAGUGGGGAAUAUUGCACAAUGGGCGCAAGCCUGAUGCAGCAACGCCGCGUGAGGGAUGACGGCCUUCGGGUUGUAAACCUCUUUUAGCAGGGAAGAAGCGAAAGUGACGGUACCUGCAGAAAAAGCGCCGGCUAACUACGUGCCAGCAGCCGCGGUAAUACGUAGGGCGCAAGCGUUAUCCGGAAUUAUUGGGCGUAAAGAGCUCGUAGGCGGUUUGUCGCGUCUGCUGUGAAAUCCCGAGGCUCAACCUCGGGUCUGCAGUGGGUACGGGCAGACUAGAGUGCGGUAGGGGAGAUUGGAAUUCCUGGUGUAGCGGUGGAAUGCGCAGAUAUCAGGAGGAACACCGAUGGCGAAGGCAGAUCUCUGGGCCGUAACUGACGCUGAGGAGCGAAAGGGUGGGGAGCAAACAGGCUUAGAUACCCUGGUAGUCCACCCCGUAAACGUUGGGAACUAGUUGUGGGGUCCAUUCCACGGAUUCCGUGACGCAGCUAACGCAUUAAGUUCCCCGCCUGGGGAGUACGGCCGCAAGGCUAAAACUCAAAGGAAUUGACGGGGACCCGCACAAGCGGCGGAGCAUGCGGAUUAAUUCGAUGCAACGCGAAGAACCUUACCAAGGCUUGACAUAUACGAGAACGCUGCAGAAAUGUAGAACUCUUUGGACACUCGUAAACAGGUGGUGCAUGGUUGUCGUCAGCUCGUGUCGUGAGAUGUUGGGUUAAGUCCCGCAACGAGCGCAACCCUCGUUCUAUGUUGCCAGCACGUAAUGGUGGGAACUCAUGGGAUACUGCCGGGGUCAACUCGGAGGAAGGUGGGGAUGACGUCAAAUCAUCAUGCCCCUUAUGUCUUGGGCUUCACGCAUGCUACAAUGGCCGGUACAAAGGGCUGCAAUACCGUAAGGUGGAGCGAAUCCCAAAAAGCCGGUCCCAGUUCGGAUUGAGGUCUGCAACUCGACCUCAUGAAGUCGGAGUCGCUAGUAAUCGCAGAUCAGCAACGCUGCGGUGAAUACGUUCCCGGGUCUUGUACACACCGCCCGUCAAGUCAUGAAAGUCGGUAACACCUGAAGCCGGUGGCCCAACCCUUGUGGAGGGAGCCGUCGAAGGUGGGAUCGGUAAUUAGGACUAAGUCGUAACAAGGUAGCCGUACCGGAA